GUGAACAGCUAGUCGGAAAGAUAAAAGAUAAAAAAGGGAAUGCUGCCAAUCCGGUUACCUUCGCUGCUCCUUUGGAGCGUCAAGGAUCAUAACACAGGCAGCUGUGUUGGGGUCCCAGGCGCAGUAGGGGUCUCGGGCCAGGACACAUUCACCACAGGAAGGAUACUUUCCACAGAACGCUGUUGGCGACUGGACGACGCCAGAGUCUGACCCAGCAUACACCGACCGAGUCUAGAAACAAUAAGUGAGGGGCGAAUGAAGCGGGAGAUGGAUAGUUGGAUCUGUGCGGCUGCUGCACUGGUCUGUCGUGGUGAAGACAGAGCUGAGCAAAAAGGCAACGCUCUCGAUUUACCGGGUGGCAGGGCACCAUGGAUGGCGGCGCUCCAAGGCAGCGGCCAAGACCAGCUCAUCUCGACAAUUUCACAAAAUAUGCGCUUAAAACGAUACAAACUAGACAACAAACCCGCAUCUAUGAUCGCCAACGCCUCCUGGACCUACGGUCACAAAAUGUUUUAAAUACUGAAAUUGUUUACUGUUUUUUGCUACUGACGGAUGUGAACAAGGCAACAGUGGAAAAUAAUGGAGGAAGAGAUGCCUGAGACGGAGAAAGCAAAGCUGCAGAGGUGGGCCAACUGCGAAUCUAAAGAGAGAUCCCAACAGACCACCACUUCCAUCAAUCGUUCUCUCCAACGUCCACUCAUUGGAAAACAAAAUGGAUCAUCUCCGACUCAAACUCUCUUCAAAAAAGGAGAUAUGUAAUAUAUAUAUGCUGCGCCAUCAUUCUGACGGUGUCUUGGCUGCGUCCAGCAGUACCGGACGAUGCUGUUGGCCUGGGGGGACUGAUGCUAUACCACACCGAUAGAAAAAAAAAGCUCUGCAUGAAUAGAGGCUCCUCUUAGACUGUUCCCAGGCAAUCGUCAGCAUCUAGGAAGGAAGCACAGUCCUCUGCAGGUGAAAAUGAGGAGAGCACUCUAGAUGCUUCACGCCCAAAUGCUGAAACAUGCCCAGCUGGCUCCUCCCGGCCCGCUCCAGCUUCCACAUCUUCUCCAUUAUCCUCUGCCGCUGCUAAACCUGCCGAUGGCACCACUGCUGCUUCAACCACAUCAGCCUCUUCAACCCAGGGAGCUACCACCCUCACAGCAUCCUCAUCAUCAUCCUACCCUGAGCCAGGAGAAGCGACUGCUUCAGGAGCCGGAAGCUCAACAACAACUGAUGGGGUGAAGCCCAGGAAACAGUGCCCUAUGCUCCAGCAUCAGAUCCUCUUCCACCAGGGUAAAAAUCCCAUUUGGAUGCUAAGAUCCUAUCCAGAUCCGUCUGACAUCACUGCUGCCAAGCAAACAUGAAUGUUGUGCAUUCCAUAACUAGAUAUAGUGACUUAAUAUCACAGUGGGUUUUUUUUAUUGUUUUUUUUUUUUUUUUUAAUUGCUGCUGCUUGCCUUGUCAAGGCUGCACUUUGAAGAAUGAGAUUGU
This is a long non-coding RNA of Cyprinodon tularosa, 1470 nucleotides long. RefSeq lists it as uncharacterized. The transcript is spliced from 3 exons. The record is from RefSeq and is a predicted model, not a curated record. NCBI's taxonomy places the organism in Eukaryota, Metazoa, Chordata, Actinopteri, Cyprinodontiformes, Cyprinodontidae.